This 429-nucleotide ribosomal RNA is filed under the name Bacteroidota bacterium. Its description in RNAcentral is "Bacteroidetes bacterium partial 16S ribosomal RNA". It matches the Rfam family "Bacterial small subunit ribosomal RNA", at positions 355 to 776 of the family's 1533-position model. The record is from RNAcentral. Lineage: Bacteria; Pseudomonadati; Bacteroidota.
UAGGGAAUCUUCCGCAAUGGACGCAAGUCUGACGGAGCAACGCCGCGUGAGUGAAGAAGGAUUUCGGUUCGUAAAACUCUGUUGUUAGAGAAGAACAGCGCAUAGAGUAACUGUUAUGCGUGUGACGGUAUCUAACCAGAAAGCCACGGCUAACUACGUGCCAGCAGCCGCGGUAAUACGUAGGUGGCAAGCGUUGUCCGGAUUUAUUGGGCGUAAAGCGAGCGCAGGCGGUCAAUUAAGUCUGAUGUGAAAGCCCCCGGCUCAACCGGGAAGGGUCAUUGGAAACUGGUUGACUUGAGUGCAGAAGAGGAGAGUGGAAUUCCAUGUGUAGCGGUGAAAUGCGUAGAUAUAUGGAGGAACACCAGUGGCGAAGGCGACUCUCUGGUCUGUAACUGACGCUGAGGUUUGAAAGCGUGGGUAGCAAACAGG